UCGAGCGGCAGCGCGGGGGCAACCCUGGCGGCGAGCGGCGGACGGGUGAGUAAUGCAUCGGAACGUGUCCUCUUGUGGGGGAUAACCAGUCGAAAGACUGGCUAAUACCGCAUGAGAUCGCAAGAUGAAAGCAGGGGACCCGCAAGGGCCUUGCGCGAGAGGAGCGGCCGAUGCCUGAUUAGCUAGUUGGUGGGGUAAAAGCCUACCAAGGCUACGAUCAGUAGCUGGUCUGAGAGGACGACCAGCCACACUGGGACUGAGACACGGCCCAGACUCCUACGGGAGGCAGCAGUGGGGAAUUUUGGACAAUGGGGGCAACCCUGAUCCAGCCAUGCCGCGUGUGCGAAGAAGGCCUUCGGGUUGUAAAGCACUUUCGGCCGGAACGAAAUCGCGCGGGUGAAUAUCCCGCGUGGAUGACGGUACCGGAAGAAGAAGCACCGGCUAACUACGUGCCAGCAGCCGCGGUAAUACGUAGGGUGCGAGCGUUAAUCGGAAUUACUGGGCGUAAAGCGUGCGCAGGCGGCGUCGCAAGUCAGGCGUGAAAGCCCCGGGCUUAACCUGGGAAUGGCGCUUGAAACUACGAUGCUGGAGUAUGGCAGAGGGAGGUGGAAUUCCACGUGUAGCGGUGAAAUGCGUAGAUAUGUGGAGGAACACCGAUGGCGAAGGCAGCCUCCUGGGCCAAUACUGACGCUCAUGCACG
RNAcentral lists this ribosomal RNA (700 nucleotides) under uncultured Burkholderiaceae bacterium. RNAcentral's name for it is "bacterial SSU rRNA". It matches the Rfam family "Bacterial small subunit ribosomal RNA", at positions 62 to 755 of the family's 1533-position model. The record is from RNAcentral. Lineage: Bacteria; Pseudomonadati; Pseudomonadota; Betaproteobacteria; Burkholderiales; Burkholderiaceae.